AGAGACAGCAGCCGCCGCGGUAAUACGUAGGUGGUGAGCGUUGUCCGGAAUUAUUGGGCGUAAAGGGAGCGCAGGCGGACAUAUAAGUCCAUCUUAAAAGUGCGAGGCUCAACCCCGUGAGGGGAUGGAAACUGUAUGCCUUGAGUGCAGGAGAGGAAAGCGGAAUUCCCAGUGUAGCGGUGAAAUGCGUAGAUAUUGGGAGGAAUACCAGUGGCGAAGGCGGCUUUCUGGACUGUAACUGACGCUGAGGCUCGAAAGCCAGGGGAGCGAACGGGAUUAGAUACCCGCGUAGUCCCUGUCUCUUAUACA
This 309-nucleotide ribosomal RNA is filed under the name uncultured bacterium. Its description in RNAcentral is "partial 16S ribosomal RNA". It matches the Rfam family "Bacterial small subunit ribosomal RNA", at positions 504 to 809 of the family's 1533-position model. The record is from RNAcentral.